Homo sapiens (human) is the source of this 1149-nucleotide long non-coding RNA. Ensembl annotates it as Fc gamma receptor Ib, pseudogene. Its record names the gene FCGR1BP. The record is from Ensembl. Lineage: Eukaryota; Metazoa; Chordata; Mammalia; Primates; Hominidae.
AGAUUUCACUACUCCCACCAGCUUGGAGACAACAUGUGGUUCUUGACAACUCUGCUCCUUUGGGUUCCAGUUGAUGGGCAAGUGGUAGACACCACAAAGGCAGUGAUCACUUUGCAGCCUCCAUGGGUCAGCGUGUUCCAAGAGGAAACCAUAACCUUGCACUGUGAGGUGCUCCAUCUGCCUGGGAGCAGCUCCACACAGUGGUUUCUCAAUGGCACAGCCACUCAGACCUCGACCCCCAGCUACAGAAUCACCUCUGCCAGUGUCAAUGACAGUGGUGAAUACAGGUGCCAGAGAGGUCUCUCAGGGCGAAGUGACCCCAUACAGCUGGAAAUCCACAGAGGCUGGCUACUACUGCAGGUCUCCAGCAGAGUCUUCAUGGAAGGAGAACCUCUGGCCUUGAGGUGUCAUGCGUGGAAGGAUAAGCUGGUGUACAAUGUGCUUUACUAUCGAAAUGGCAAAGCCUUUAAGUUUUUCCACUGGAAUUCUAACCUCACCAUUCUGAAAACCAACAUAAGUCACAAUGGCACCUACCAUUGCUCAGGCAUGGGAAAGCAUCGCUACACAUCAGCAGGAAUAUCACAAUACACUGUGAAAGGUAUUGUAUUGGAAUAGUCAUAGAACUGAUAGUCCCUCCCCCUGAGGGACCAUCAUAAAUAUUCUAAACUCCUCACUUUAAUUUACAAGUGAAGAAACUGGGCUCCAGAGAGGUAAACUGCAUUACUAAAGGCCACACCAUGACCAGUAGCUGGAACCAGAACUGAGGUCUCUGGGUCCUAGUCCAAUACUCUUUCCAGUGUACCGCAACCCCCAUCAAUAAUCACAGGAGCUAAUGUCAAUGUCAGGGCAUAAUGGUGAUCCAUUUCAUCCAUCAUUAUUUUAGUUGUAAAGAAUACAGACUCACUCUAGGUAGAUAGGAGAGUUAGAAAAUAAUACCAUGGAAUCUCAUGGAAGCCCCAUAGAAAGAGAAACCUGGAAAACAUGAGGAACGGGCUAUACUGUCCAUCUACCUCUCAGGGACAAAGCAGCCUCUGUGGUGCCACUUCUUCCUGAGCAUCUGCAGGCUAAGCAGUUUGCAUAUGGCCUUGUUCUGACCCUUUCACGGCCUUUCCUCUUAAUACAAUCACUAGCAACCUUUCUCUGUCUGAG